UACGUAGGGGGCAAGCGUUGUCCGGAUUUAUUGGGCGUAAAGGGCACGCAGGCGGUCCAUUAAGUUCAGGGUGACAGUCAUCAGCUUAACUGAUGAAGUGCCUUGAAAACUGGUGGACUUGAGAGCGAGAGAGGGACACGGAACUCCGGGUGGAGCAGUGAAAUGCGUAGAGAUCCGGAAGAACACCAAAGGCGAAGGCAGUGUCCUGGCUCGUUUCUGACGCUCAGGUGCGAAAGCGAGGGGAGCGAACGGG
RNAcentral lists this ribosomal RNA (253 nucleotides) under uncultured prokaryote. RNAcentral's name for it is "partial 16S ribosomal RNA". It matches the Rfam family "Bacterial small subunit ribosomal RNA", at positions 524 to 776 of the family's 1533-position model. The record is from RNAcentral.